UCUGGAGGGGAGACGCUUCGACCGAUCGACGCGACGUGGCAAUCGCGCGCGCAUCGCGCACGGUGGCUCAUGGGAGUCAUGGGGGCUCACGCGAAGUUGGCUAUCCUUUCCGUCGGCAUGUCGGCGCUCGAUUGUCCGCACGUAGCCCCCGUCCAAGGCGUUCCGGCGCUUCUCCAAUCCCGGAUGCCCGAGCUCCCUCAUUGGAUGAGAUUCGGGGUCGCAUCCCUUCAGGACCGAAGGUAAAACCUCUCCAACUGAAGUGCCCUCUUAAACAAAUCCCUCAGCUGAUAUCUUUGGCGUCUCUACGUCGUGCGCAGGUACCUGCGUAGAUCUUAGAUCGAUAGAUCUGAGCAGAAAUCGUUCCGAGAAUCGCAAAGGCCAAGGCAACGGCAGGCAGGAAAGCAGAUAUUUUUUGAGGUAGAAACAACGGGAAGAAGCCAACACCUAAAUCGUCGCCAAUUUUCAAUCAAAUAAACGAACCGCAGCCGGUUCGUCGCGUCGCGCGUUUAUUCCGGGAGUGUCGUUUAAGUUAUCGGACUACUAGACUUUUCAUAACUCCCAUUCGAUAGAAUCCUAAUUCGAGGACCGGAAAUCGCACCCCCGCUGCUUGGCAGUGGUACAUGUCCUCACUGGGCCGUUGCGCAUGAUGGCUACGGCGCACCGCGACGUCUCAUUCCGAGUGCCCGUGCACGAGGAAAUGCCGGGCCGCGUUAUGGCAUGCCCCGGGUGCAAUUUUAAACGUGAUUCUUGCGAGAUAAGAGGCGUCAGAUUCAAUGCCAUUGAUUUCGUUUUCUUCCGCGUGGGGCUUAACCCUUGUUCGGGGGUGGAUACGCGUGUGUCCUACUCGUCGACUCGGGGUGCUGAAUCCACGGGCCUCCCUCCGAAUCGGAAGUCUUAUCGUGGGUUUUAUAAAUCCGAAGUGCCGUAGUGUGCGAAAGACUCUCAUAGAUAUAUUUAAUUAAUUCACGCGCGCAAUUUCAGUGCAUUUUACGCGAGUGUUUAUCGCGAGUGCAACAAGAGGAGAAAACUCGACAACCUGAAGCUGAGAGGAGGAGGAGGCCUGGGAGAGGCAUCGGGCUUCAGCGGAGCAACCUUGGGUAAUCACCGUAGCUUCGUGGCUGAUUAACUCCGCUCGUUGCGCAUCGGGUCGGUGAGUCAAUUUAUGAUAUUUCAAUGCUUUGUUCAAAGAUGUUUUGACUACGCGACGCCCCAAUUAAAAGUUAUUGUAAUUUAAAACUUAUGCAAACUUCUUUUUUAUCCAAUGAUAAAAAAUGUUGAAAAUGUGAAUACUCGAAUUUUAGUCUUGGAACUAACUGUAAAAAAACAAAACGAAUAAUUUGACAGCAAUGCAGGAAAAAUAACCUUAUUUUGUCGCAGUGUUAGGUAAAUAACUUUUCUAAACGAAUAGGUGAAUUGAAAGAAACUUUUGCACGAAUAUUUAUUAGAGUUUUAUUAAUAUACGUAAAAAAUUUUAUUCAAUUUAUAAUGAUACUGUCUCAGUAAAUCUGUAAAUAGGUAUUACAAACCGUGAUUUUACAUAAAAAUGAAGAGUGAACCAAAAAUAUAAUUGUUAAACCAACAAGAGAGUUGCGCUCAAAUUUUACACAGAUAUUCAAAUGUAACAAUAGAACAAUCUAUUUAAAUUUUUAUUUUUCAUUUUUAAUAGUGCAUUGUAACGUGAGAUAUGCAUCCUUAACAUUAAAAAAAAUUUUUUUUUGAAAUGUAGCUUAAAUUUAAUAAAGUGCUACGUUGUUUCAUAUCGCUCCCAUUACAAUUGGAGCACUUUGAAGGCCUUUCGAUGUGUAACUCAUGAGCAACGUCGAAGUCCAAAGAACUCGUAUCGCACCAAGUUUCCCAAGUAGAUCCGUGGCCAGUGAGAUAUAUUGGGUGUGUGAGCGAUAAAGGAGGCCUGUGUACACCGGGACCUCGCAUGUGUGGGCCCGCCGUCCGUGCCCCCGAACGAUAAUUUCUUAUCGUAUCCGGCUCCCCUUACGCGCACGUUGUCAGUUACUGGAACUUAAUAUGGUACGCUUCGUAUGAAUCGGUCCGAACGACUUCAACGUAUCGUCAUGUUUUCGUAGAGUUUGCUACCGUUUACGUGACACCGUGAUCAAAGGCGUUUGUAAGUCGGAAGAGCAUGAGAGUCGCUGAUGUAGCCGUGCAAUACUCUGAAUUGCUUUAGAAUAGAUAAUACCUGCAAAUAUUUAUAUCCUUCACUCUAUUAUAUAUUUAUAUAAGAAUGUAUAAUAAAUAGAGCAAGUAAAAAUAUAUUAAAUAAAAAUAUAAUAUUAUACACACAAAUUUCAUAUGUAUAUAGUUUAUUUGAAGUGUUAAUGUUGUUAAACACAUUUCCAAUUUUAUUUACUUUGUAGGGAUCGUAUGUCUAAUACAUCCUUAAUUAAUAUUACAGCAGUGAAGAUAUUUAUUGUGUGUGCAACGUAUUUAUAAAAUAAUUACAUGAAUUAUUUAUAUUGACAUGAUAAAAAUAUAUUUAUUUUUGAUGUAUUUUUUUUAGAAAAAGUAUAUCAACAAACUGAUAAUUAUAUCAGUAACAGAGAUGAUAUUUCAUCAGUUACUGAUACAGCUAAUCAGUUUAUUAAAACACUUUUUCUUGAGGCUCGAUUUAUUUUAUACAAUUUUAUUUUAGAACAAUAUUUUUUUUAUAAAAAGUUCUUUCUGCUAUCUCUCAUAAAUCAUUGAUUGUGAUUUUUAUUCUUUCUUUGCCCGCAGUAAUUUCUUUUGAGACACUGAGAAAAGAUGAAUAAUUUUUAAGUUCUUUAUGCUUUAUUAAUGAAGAAUUUGUAUUGUAACUUUUAUAUUCUGUAGAAUUAUUUCAAAAUGUGUGGUAACCACAAUAGCACUCAAUAAAAUUUUUAAAUAUAAAUUAUCGGAAUUGUUUCAAAUUCAUCUUUGUUAUGAAUAAUAAAAAAUUUUCUUUUCUUCGAUGUCUCUCUUUCGUGAUAUACAGCUUUUUUUCUUUAUAUCAUCUAUUUCUAUUUCCUCUUUUUUUUUUAAUUUCUCUGUCGUAAAUUGCUUGGUUUUUUUGUUAAAAAUAAGUUCUUUUCUAAAUUAAACAAUGAGUUAAAAAAUAUUUUUAGCGUUUAGUAAGGAAUUUAAUUAAUAUUUCUUUGAUAACGAAAAGUUUUCGGAACAAAUUUUUUUCAUAAGAAAAAAGGAAGAUGGCAAAAAGAUAAGAACGGAACCACAAAUGAGAUAACAGGAUUGCUCGAAUAUUUGAACGAAAGUAAUUCUACGUUAUUGCUAUGAGUUACUUGUUAAACGACUAAACCGACGGACAAUGGUGCACGAGCUGCAUCUCAAACAAUAGCAUCCCGUAAUCAAGCGAUGAAUUAUCGCAAAUCAGUUGACUUUUUAACGCACCGCCGUAUGUCAAAGAUCGCCAGUAACGCGAUUAGGGGUAUGAGAUAUGGACCGGCGUAUCGGGGCGCGAGAAUGCAAGGCAGGAGCAACGUCUUCGACGACCACGCCUUCGAUCGGCACAACGGAGCGCCAACAAUAAAGCCGAGGACUAGAAGUAAAAAUCGCGGCGACCUAUGCGUCGCCUCGUAACGCCUCGUUCCCAUUCCCGCUCUCGCCUCGUCGCGCCGCGCCGCGAAACUCAUUAAAACCCGUCGAGAUACCCCGGCCGCGUUUAUGCAGGCACGUAACGACGAACGAGAACAACGUCGGCGUAUGCAUUUACGAGCGGCACCGUCUUUAUGCACCGGCGGCGCGGCGCGGCGCGGCGCGAUGCAUCGGAGCUGGCGACACUGAGCGCAGCACCGUACGGCAAAAAGUCGCGCUCGUAAUCGUGUGAAUAUCGCGUCUUAGGAUCUCCUAUCGUCGGAACAUCGCAUUUCCGGCUUCAACGCGGAACGUGGAGAACGACACCCGUUUUCUCGUCUUUGAACAAUCUUUGAAACGCAACAAACCGGAUUAUCUGUGACGCGUCUUCAGAUAUACAUGCCGUGGGAGAAAAAAAAUUAUUACGUUUCAAUAAAUAUUGGUUUGAAUAGCUGCAAUGAAAUAUUCAUUUAAUAAAAAAAUGAUAGUUAAAUUGAAUUAGUGGCGUUCGUACUAAAUAAAUAUUUAUUUACAUUUAAUAAAUAUUCCAUUGCAAUUACUCAAACGGUUUAAUUUAUUAAAAUUUAGUAAUAUUUUCUCUCAAUGUAGGACGAUACGCCAAGAUAUGCAAACUCAGAAUUGCUUUCUUUCCUUUAAAGCGUCACUAAUUAAAGCACUGCCUUGAGAAAGAGGAUAAUUUCUAUAAUUCUAAAAUAAAUUCUUUAUUAAAAUGUAAAGAGUAGUAAGAGAGACAGAAAGAAAAAAAAAGAAAGAAGAGAGAUCUUAUAAGAUCUUCUAUAAUUUUAUAUGCAAUUAUAAUUUUAAGAUGCAAUAAAGCCCCUUUUAAUUCAUGCGUAAACUUGACGGAAAUAUGUAGUAUCAUCCUCGCUGGCCCGCGCGCGCAAUCGAGGCACGUAAUGAGAAGCGGUAUGAAGUAUCUCUUACGCGAUCUAUCCUUCCACCUAUUUUUUUUCCCACAUAACAACGAGGCGCUACGGCUCGUGUCCUGUUCACCCAUUUUCGAAGGACCUUAACCAACCAUGACCGAAGCGGCUCGCGUGGGGCUUAUUUUAAUGCCACAGUGUUCCACACACGGCCCGUGUACAUAUGUGUGCGUUGCACGUUGUUUUCCUUAUAUACACGGUGUACCUUGAUUACCAUGCUGCCCAUACAUGGCACUACAAUUUCGAUGCGCGCGGAUUGUUGAGAAAUUGCGCGCUCCGAAAGAAGCCGAUUUAUUAUUAGAUUAUUAGACGCGCCUAAUAUGGCGCCGCGGCAGGAUUUAUCAACAAUCCGUUUAUUUUAUUCAAUUUUUCCUCUCUGUCGUCGUCCAAUUCCCCGCGUAGCAACAAAUGCGAUUCCCGGCUUCCGUUGGAUUAUGAUUUGUUUAAAGUAAUUCUUCCCGAAAAUUUUGGUCAGGGAGAUCUAACGUCAGGUAUAUGCAAUUACGGAUGUAUGGGUCAUAACAUUACCAAAAAAUAUAAAUUUCAUAGAAUGUUGUAAUUUAUUACGUUUGAAUAUCCGUGUAAAAUUUGAGCACAGUUCACUUACUGGUUUAAAAGUAUAAUUUUAAUUUGUAUAUGUAAAAUUGCGUUGUGCGUUGCAAAUUUUAUGCGAAAAUAGCAUUAUCAAUUAAAUUAAAAUUUUUAUUAUGUAAUAAAAGUCUAAUAAAUAUUCGUACAAAAAUUUAUUUAGAUCCAUUUAAUCGUUUAAAAGUAAUUUUUGUAUAAAAUUGCAGCUAAAUAUAAGCAGCAAAAACCAUUUUAAAUCAAAUUCUUCAUUUCUUCUUUGCAGCUACUUUCAAGUCCUAAAUUCGAGCAUUUGAGACUAAAAUUUUUUGUUGAUUAGUAGAAAGAAAAGAAUAAACGUAGAGAAGCCUUCAAUUUUUAAAUUUCGAUAACUUUAGCUCGUACAGCUAAAACAUCCUUGAGAAUUUUGGAAAAAAAAGAAUUCUUAAAUUUGAUCGAUUGAUAGACGACAGCUUUAUAUAUUUUGAAAAUUCGUGGUUUUGUGUAAAGAUACGACCUCACACAUGCAAAUGAUAAUGCAUUAGAUUAGAUUAAAGUAUGUCAGUUUAUCUUUCUCUCUCUCUUUUCCAUCCAAAAGGUUAUCGUACAGUCAAGGGUGUAGUCGAGAGAUAAACAAGUGUCGAGAUUGUAUCGGUCUCUAUCGAUCCCAAUUCUUGAAAACAUAUCGUCUAAAAAAAUACAAAAAAAAAGAAAAUAAAAAAAUAGAAAAGGAAACAAAUUUGUUACAAAUAUUCUCAGAAUAUUGCGUCGCGUUGCUUAAUCGUAGCACAGUUUACGUGCUUUGAUGCUCGAUGUCGAAGCUUUGUAUCGCACAGCAAUCGAUUAGGCGCUCCGUAUCUGGCAUCGCGGCUAAAUAUACGGAUUUACGGAUGUUGAGCACCGAACGCCGGAAAUCCUUGAGUGACGUUGACGCGCGCAUCUAGAUGGCUGCACCAAAUAAAUGCAUAACUGCAUCGUUACGUGAUGAAAACGGUGUCCCCUGCGAAUUAAUAGCCGGCAGGACGACAUGACUGACAAGCCGGCGAAUUAAAUCACGUAAACUACAACGACGGCCGAUCGCGAAGCGCCGUGCGCAGAAUUUUGCGAUGGACUGUGUUGUGCUGCGGUGGCAUAAGGCUCGCUCGCGACCUUGGAAACUGAUGCAUUAUUCGAGAUGAGAAAUUGCGAAGGCGGGCACCGCUGAAGUUAUGAUGAAUGAGAAACGUCGGGUUCCCCCCGCGUCGAAUAAUUCCCUUGAUAAAAAUAACGGGUGUAUUAUUUCGUCCCGCGAGCUCAAUUUCAACCCUAUUCAUGCAACUUAAAAAUAAUGGCCGUAUUGUUUAAAGACACAAAUUGAUUUCACGCUUUAACAUUCAAUAAAUUAUAAGAUGAGGGUGGGAUGUAUAACAGUAAAUCGCCGCGGGACAAUUUACUGUUACAAUAAUAAGUAUUGCUUCAAUUUAUCAAGUCUUCCUUGAAAAACUACUAUUUCUAGAUUUCUUACGUCUGUCUGUUAUCGUCACUUUAUUCAACGGCAAAUAUUACGUUUCUUAUCUAGUGAUCUCCCCCUUGAAACCUUGCUUGUGAAGUAUUAUGGUAUUAACAGUACUUUACUUUGCUUAAUUUCCACCGGACGAGUAUUAUUUAAUCACCUUGAUUCCACAAAUAUUCUGUAUUGUGAGACUUCAUCAUUGCCACUUCGCUUGUCUGUAGACGGGUCCGUGAGACUGAUAAGAUGUCACUUCCACGCUUUCUAUCGCGAUUAAAUACACAUCAGGUCGUAAUCUGUAAACGCGUAAGGUCAUCGUGAUAAAUGAACAUAAAAUUUUCCAUGGUUUUCCAAAAACACUUAUCACGAGGGUCCCAGAUAUACAGGUAUCGGUGUACUGCGACCGCUUAGUCAACAGACUUGCAUAGCGAUCACUCACCUGCAUACCACCAUUACGGUUACAUACAUGUACAGAAAAUAUAAUCACCUCAGUUAUACGUAUGUAUAAUGUACGAAUACGUGUAAGUUUGACCCGAAUAAAUAAAUAGUAUUAUAAUUUAUGUUAAUAAAUUGGAAAACGUUAACAUCAUUUUUCACGACUCCCGUUGAAUGAAUAAUGAAUGAAUAAAAUAGCUGAACAUACACACACGUAUACGCAUUUAUGAAAUUAAAAAAGUAACGAUAUGGAAGGUUUACUAUAAACUUAGAAAAUGUUUAUCUUUAAAAAUAGUAUUUAUAUCUUGCAUAGUCGUUAUAGUCUUUUAGAAUACUUGGUGCACUAAGAAAAAUUUAGUUGCCUUCAACAAAAGCUGUUUAGUUUGAAACAUUAUUUAACAGUAACUAAAUAGUCUUGUUUGAUACAUUUUAAUCAAAUUAGCUAUUUGUUACAACAAAACACUUUGCUUUUAGUAUAUUUUUAAUAAAUAUAACGAGCAUAAUAGUCACAACAACUUGAGAAUGUGCAGAAAAAAAGAUAAUGUGAGCUUUCAAACCAAACUAAAUCUCUUGUGCAUUCGUAUAAACUUUCUUCGACAUAUACCUGAAUAAUUUUCAAGUUUCCUUCCCUUUUUCUAUCCAUUGGAACUCUGGAAUUUAAUGUCAACCAUUGUCAUCAUCAUCUUUUACCUGCCGAGACGUUCAUUUAAGUGAACACAGGCCAACAGUGCGAGGGAAACGAUAAUAAUCUUGCCUUUCCUACUUUUUUUGCCAAGCGAAUUUCAAAUGCAACAACUUUCUCCUUCGGCAUCUUUCGAAUUUUGCGUUUGAAUUUCUCGAUCGUCGUUCAAUUGCUACCUAAUGACCAACUUCGCAUUCCAUCGAUAUUCGCUCGUAAAAAUUAAUAGAAUCUUUUAACAAUCGGUCGUGAACGAAUCGUGAAUGAAUCCUCGUAAAGCCUAAUGCAUAAAUUUUUGAUGAUACCGAUUGUUCGAUUCGUUCUUAGAAGCCAUUAAAAAUUUAAAAAGCAAAAACGUUGUACACUUGUUAAAUUACUUUAAUGUGCCAAUUGAAAUUGAAGAUAGCACACUACAAAUAAUUCUAUAUAAUAAUUUUGCUGUAAUAAUAAAAUAAUAUUUUAUAUGGUGAAACUGUAACUUAAAAAAUUGUUGCUGAUAUCAAAUGUGUGUGGAUUUCAUAUCGGGAUUAAUUCUAAUAAUUACAGCUGUACACAUUGCAUUCUGUAGCAGGUAUCUCACAGUUAAUAUGAAUUUCGUAUUUGUUACAUACGUUGCAAUGUAUAAAAAAAUAGUAUAUAGGGGGAAAUUCCAAUGAAAGGAAGAAGCAAGCAUCAUUAAAUUAUCACAUUUCUUGCAUUUAUCAACGAAUGCACGUGAAUGCAGAUGUGAAUGAUAAGAAAUUGACUUUAUCCUUCACGCUCGGCCGUGAAAACGUCGGAACGUGACUUUGCGUGUUCUCCAGUCGCGACACUUACCUUUCAGCAGGUGCAAAUAGAAAUGCGUUUAUUGCCGCAGCUGUUCGCGAAAUAGAAGAGGACUGAGAUGCACAACAACUUCAGGAGAAACUAAUGACGAUUUUCGUUCGCGAAUCGAUUUUAUUUGCAAGAUCAAAAGUGAGAGUCAAAAAACUACGUUUUCUUUCAUUUUAAAAUUACGUGAACGGUAUAUUGAAAUCGCUUUAAUUGCAUCAAUUUACAAAAAUUUCGCAAUAAAGUAAUAAAUUAUUGAUUAUUAAUUAAUUAUUAAAUCCCUAGUUAUCGUGUCACUUGAUAAUAAAAUAUAAUGCAAUAUUUUGUAUAUCAAUAAUACUGUCGCGUUACCAACAUUAUUCUACAUAAUUAAAAACGUAAACUAUAUUUAUAAUUGAAGAAAUCAAUUUUAAAUCGAGCAAGAGAGUCCGCGAUAAAAACGGAAGGUUAACGAUUUUGAGAUACCACAUAUAUUCAUGACCAUACACAUCAUCGAAUCCACCUGUAUUGAGAUCCUGGAUACGAUCUUGCACGGAUUCCGAAGCGCAAGGGUACGCCGCAGGCGUGGUUCGGUUCUAUAAUGGCUUCGGCAUCAUAGAAACCCUAGAACUUCUUACCAAAAUUUUACCGGUUUUUUUUUGCUUAAAAGCAGGGAUGUACCAAGCUUUUUGUAGUUUUCUCAAGUUUUCUUCCCCGAGGAUUACUCUUACGGAUUGUUAUUACAAAAAAUUUAUAGUUUUAUGGUACGAGCUCUUUGAAAUCUUUAACCAUUGUAUUCCAAAAUAUUUUUUUAUUCUGAUGGAACAAUAUCAGCUAUGAGGACAAUAGAUCACAAAGAAGAUUACGAAAUUAUGAAAUGCACUAUUUAAAGAACUUUUAUAACUUGUAAGUAGAAGUUUUUUGUGUGACUCAGGCGAAUCCAAGGUUGUGGCCACGGACAAAUAACAGAUAAUUUGCUGUUUUAAAUAUUAUAAUUUAAAUUUUUCUUAUGUAUGCAAACCGUUAAAGAUUUUUUUGUAGUAUCAUUCUUUUUUAUUUUUUUGUUAUUUUAAAUUAAUGUCAAUAACAUUUAUUAAAAGAAAAAUCGCUUUGCAAGAUAAGAUUUCAACAAAUGAAAAAAGUUAGAAAAAAAUUGAAUAUGGCAUUUACAUUAAUAUAAAUUAUUCUCAUUAUCAUAUUUCUACUUCUCUCAGCAUUAGUUUCCUUAUAUUGCGGUUGAUAAGCAAAAACGCAUGUAUAUUCAGUAAAUAAAGUGAUUAAUAACAUAGGUGUACAUUUGCAUUAUGCAAAUUGCUAUUUUUAUAGUUAUUAUAAUUUAGCUGCUUUUUUUCUUCUCGUGCUAUCAUUUAUCUUUUAUACAUGUUAUAUUUAUAACUUAUUAAUAAGUAAACUUUUACUUAUCAAUAAGUAAAAAUAUAUGGGAAUUAUAUAAAGGAUUUAUUAUUAUUAUUAUCGUCUAAUUAAAUGCAAAUUGGAGUUGUACAAUAUAACUUAAGUGAAACAAUGUCUUAGUAAUCGUGACAUUUAAAUGGUAUCCAUUCAUUCUUGCGGCAAAAAAAAAAGUAUUGGCUCUGUAGAGGUGCAAUAUUUCCGGAAAGUCCAUUCGUGGCUCGUCCGUGGAAAACGCUCAGCGGUCAUUACGUUGUUUUCCUAGUCGAUCGCCACUUCCAUCAAGAUUCGAAAUUACACGUUCUCUUCCGACGCCAAGGUUGCGCACCGUCGGAAACCGCACGUUUCGCGAGAAAAGCGCCGUGUCAGCUAAUGACAGGUAUCCUCGAUAACCGCGAAGAAGUCUUUAUAUAUCUCUUGGACCCCGGACAAACAUAUCGUCCACCCUUCCUGAUUGUUAAAGCAAAUGUUUUGUCUCUCGUUCGACCCCUGUGCCUCGUCAUCGUGCAUACGUUUGCACUGCAAAGUGAUAGCCACGCCAGUUUAACCGAAUCUCAUAUUACAGGUCGUAAUCGGGAUCAAAUGGUGCUCGAAGUUCAACGGUUUGCUCUUUCCAUGAAACAUGAUAUUUGGGUAGAUUUACAGGGACAAUUUUCGUUUUCUAAGAUUACGCCUAAUAUAUUUAGAAGGACGAGUAAAAAUACAAUUAACUUAUCGGGGUUUACACAAGAUAAUUAUUAUCAAAGAGCACAUACUGUUUUCCAAUCGUCUUGGAGGAAAGAAUAAAGAGAUGUAUAUAUUAUUUUUCGUAACAGAUAAUUUGAACACAUCAAUCUUCCGAGCAGUGUAUUUUUCUUCUAACUUUUUUGAGAAGUAUCAAGCAUGUAAUUGGGAAUUGCGUUUGAAUAUUGUUGAAAGUAAAUUGAGGGUUUUGUCGCGUAGCUGGGAACCAACUAUUAUUUUGCGAGAAAUGAAUCUUUGUAAAUUACGGUCGUAACUUCUCUUCCGGUAAAUUUAUGGUUACGUAAAGCAGUGCAAAUGUUAAACGUUCGCAAAGCAAAUACGUUCUAGCGAAGGAUUAGCGAUGGAAGACAUUGUUAAACGAGUCAACUUUUUGUUAAAUAAAUUUAACAAAUUUUCCACUUUUGAAUGCUGUUAGAUUUACAUGUGAAAAAUUAUUAUUUGAAACCAGUAAGAAAUACAGAAGGAAACGUAGGAGAAUUUUGACGGAUUUUUCAACACAAAAAGGUUAUCUUAUCUUUAAACUUUAUCUUUCCGCUUCUCGUAUUUCUUGACUUUAAAAUGUACCUUUAAUCCAGAGAACCACGAUUAUGCUCGAGGCACGGCUCGAAGGAAGAGUUGCUCCUUCACGAGGGAAAAGAACGGCCCUCUCGUCUUUUCGUUCCGCUGCUUUUUUUUGGCUACUCACUGCGUGCCCUGCACUUGCCGCUCGGCAUGGGGUCGUUAAAAAUGAAAAAAAUCACUACGCUCCCCUUCGUGUCCUCUCUAAUUUUAUUUGAGCGCCUUAACUUAUCCCAGUAUGUAUUUGUAUGAUUGCAUUACUCUAAAGUAACGUAAUAAAAUAAGAAUUAUUUAUAGUACAUAUAACUGUAUUUAACUGUAAGUUAAAUGUAUCACACACAUUUAACAUGUAUUAAAUUAAUUACAUAAAAUAGGCUGUGAAUAAUAUAUUU
This is a long non-coding RNA of Solenopsis invicta (red fire ant), 11568 nucleotides long. RefSeq lists it as uncharacterized. Lineage: Eukaryota; Metazoa; Arthropoda; Insecta; Hymenoptera; Formicidae. The transcript is spliced from 4 exons. The record is from RefSeq and is a predicted model, not a curated record.